GAUGAACGCUAGCUACAGGCUUAACACAUGCAAGUCGAGGGGAAACGACAUCGAAAGCUUGCUUUUGAUGGGCGUCGACCGGCGCACGGGUGAGUAACGCGUAUCCAACCUGCCCACCACUUGGGGAUAACCUUGCGAAAGUAAGACUAAUACCCAAUGACGUCUCUAGAAGACAUCUGAAAGAGAUUAAAGAUUUAUCGGUGAUGGAUGGGGAUGCGUCUGAUUAGCUUGUUGGCGGGGUAACGGCCCACCAAGGCGACGAUCAGUAGGGGUUCUGAGAGGAAGGUCCCCCACAUUGGAAAUGAGACACGGUCCAAACUCCUACGGGAGGCAGCAGUGAGGAAUAUUGGUCAAUGGACGAGAGUCUGAACAAGCCAAGUAGCGUGCAGGAUGACGGCCCUAUGGGUUGUAAACUGCUUUUAUAAGGGAAUAAAGUGAGUCUCGUGAGACUUUUUGCAUGUACCUUAUGAAUAAGGACCGGCUAAUUCCGUG
This 492-nucleotide ribosomal RNA is filed under the name uncultured bacterium. RNAcentral describes it as "partial 16S ribosomal RNA". It matches the Rfam family "Bacterial small subunit ribosomal RNA", at positions 28 to 507 of the family's 1533-position model. The record is from RNAcentral.